This 453-nucleotide ribosomal RNA is filed under the name uncultured bacterium. Its description in RNAcentral is "bacterial SSU rRNA". It matches the Rfam family "Bacterial small subunit ribosomal RNA", at positions 720 to 1173 of the family's 1533-position model. The record is from RNAcentral.
AGCGGCUCUCUAGUCUGUAACCGACGCUGAGGUUCGAAAGCGUGGGUAGCAAACAGGAUUAGAUACCCUGGUAGUUCCCCCCGUAAACGAUGAAUGCUAAGUGUUGGAGGGUUUUCGCCCUUCAGUGCUGCAGCUAACGCAAUAAGCAUUCCGCCUGGGGAGUACGACCGCAAGGUUGAAACUCAAAGGAAUUGACGGGGGCCCGCACAAGCGGUGGAGCAUGUGGUUUAAUUCGAAGCAACGCGAAGAACCUUACCAGGUCUUGACAUCUUCUGACAAUCCUAGAGAUAGGACUUUUCCUUCGGGGACAGAAUGACAGGUGGUGCAUGGUUGUCGUCAGCUCGUGUCGUGAGAUGUUGGGUUAAGUCCCGCAACGAGCGCAACCCUUACUGUUAGUUGCCAGCAUUAAGUUGGGCACUCUAGCAAGACUGCCGGUGACAAACCGGAGGAAGG